UACGUAGGUGGCAAGCGUUAUCCGGAUUUACUGGGUGUAAAGGGCGCGUAGGCGGGAAUGCAAGUCAGAUGUGAAAUCUAUGGGCUUAACCCAUAAACUGCAUUUGAAACUGUAUUUCUUGAGUGAUGGAGAGGCAAGUGGAAUUCCUAGUGUAGCGGUGAAAUGCGUAGAUAUUAGGAGGAACACCAGUGGCGAAGGCGACUUGCUGGACAUUUACUGACGCUGAUGCGCGAAAGCGUGGGGAGCAAAC
This 250-nucleotide ribosomal RNA is filed under the name uncultured bacterium. RNAcentral describes it as "partial 16S ribosomal RNA". It matches the Rfam family "Bacterial small subunit ribosomal RNA", at positions 524 to 773 of the family's 1533-position model. The record is from RNAcentral.